CAUGCUAACCUGCUCUGCUAACAUGCUAACCUGCUCUGCUAACAUGCUAACCUGCUCUGCUAACAUGCUAAAUACAGACACAAAAACAGCAGCGUUCUGGUUCAUAAUAUUUCACAUCACUGCUGGUCAGUCGGUACUUUACAUCCCAUUGUUUUGAGCUUUAUGAUGACCAGCUGCUCUGUUUUCAUGCAUUCUGACCUUCAUGCUGGUGAUUUUGUCCUGUCUGCGUAUUGAUGGUAGAUCGACUUGUUUUUAAAAACUCUUGUUGCUCCUUUUUAACAGCUCAAAACUAAAUAUAUAAUAAUACUCAUUAAAACUCACAUUAAAACUUUAGGACUGCUCCACUAUGUCUUUGGGUUUGCAGCCAAUCAGGUUCAGGGAAAAUGAGUGGCGCUUUCUGAUUGGCUGCUGUCACUUUGCUCCCAAACUGAAUUUUCUUUUGAUUAAUUUAUGUCUUCUGAAAAAAUCCUUAAAGAGACAAAUUUUCUGAGAAUAGUUUUAAUUUAUGUUCCACAGAAAAAUCCACAAACCGUUGCUACCAGAUCCUGAAACACAUAAAGCUUUAGAAGAAAAUAUUUAUUAUCCUGUAAAUAUUUGACAGAAAUAUUUGAUAUUUCUGCUUCUCGCUGCAGCAGAAACAAAUCUCCAGCCUGUGAGACGGAAACCUGGGGACAAAAUCACUCUGGACUUUGGAGACCAAAGGCUGAGAGAGGCGGAUUGGGUCGUUUGGUCUCGUGGUUCGGACAGCGCCGUCCUGGCUCAGUCGAAAAAGACUUAUUUAUGUUAUCCAAGAGGUUCCGGCUGGAUACAGAAACCGGGUCACUCACCAUCCUCAACCUCUGUGUGAACGACACCGGGACCUAUCAGGGCCAGAACCUGAACGGAAACGCGGAGACGUUUUCACCGGACUGUUGACGAACCGGUCCACAGUCCAGUAACCUCUGAACCUUCACCAGGCAGGUCACACCGGUCCGGUGCCGCUGCUCCGUCUCUGCUGGUUCUGCUCGGCGCUGCUAACAUGCUAACCGGUUUCUGACUGAGAACCAACGAGCUGAAGGGAAAAGAUACAAUCAGGCCAGUAACAGUCUGAUCUGGAUCUUCUUGGACAGAAACAUCUGCAGCCUCCAGCUGUGACUCUGGAGCUCAUCGUCCAAAACAUGAGACGGAUUUAAGGAGCCAUGAUUCAGUGAUUUGGUCGUAAACGUUUGAACCUGAACAGAAACAUUCACACUAAUGAACAAAACUCAUUUUCAGUUAGUUGAUUCCUGCAGGAAUCGAACGUUGAGCUGCUGCUGGGGAAACCGUGACGUUCCUGCUCUCUUCUCUGGGUCAGAACCGAAUACAGUAAUUAUGGCUGGUUGUCAUAACGGCUCCAUCUGGAGAAAUGGACUUUACUGUUACACUUAUGUUUGUUUGAUCCUUUAAAGGCGACAUAUCAAACUUUAAAUCUUUUGUUUUCAUAUUUAAAUCAUUGAGUUGAAAUGAUUUAACUGAAGUGAUGAUCCUCCUGAGGAUUUUAACAUGUUACUUUUAAACACGUUACAUCGUUAUGAAAGCGAUGAAUUAUCCACUCAACUCCUCCUGUGCAGAAACUGAAGCAGAUUUCUUUGUUUCUGCUGAUUCAGGAAAUCUGAUCAAUUAUCUGAACGCUUCAACUGUUAGAGAUUUAAUUUUUUCUCUGUUGUUUAAAUAUUUAAAGAUAAGUUAUGACUUUAUUUUAAAAAAAGACUCCACAAAGCGAACGAGUUGUUCUGGGAGAUUAAACUGAUGAAGCUCAGCUCCUCCUCUUCCUCCUAAACGUUCAAACCUCCAUGAUUUAUUGCCAGAAUUUAACCAGCAGAAACUUUGAAUCUUCAUCUCAUUUUGUUUUUUGUUCUCUUGAAUUAAUGUGGUUAUCAUAAAGUUCAAACCCUCUGCAGUCCAUCAGGUUUCCACCUUCAGUGUGGAAGUCAGAGCUGAACCAACCAGAUGUUUUCCUUGCUGUAAACAUUCAGCUGCUCUGUGUUUUCACUAUUUGUCCUGUUUUGCAUUAUAACAAUAAAACGAGGUUGAUUUUCA
This is a long non-coding RNA of Xiphophorus maculatus (southern platyfish), 2058 nucleotides long. RefSeq lists it as uncharacterized. The transcript has 3 exons. The record is from RefSeq and is a predicted model, not a curated record. Lineage: Eukaryota; Metazoa; Chordata; Actinopteri; Cyprinodontiformes; Poeciliidae.